Molecule: ribosomal RNA, 465 nt
Filed under: uncultured bacterium
Lineage: Bacteria
Description: partial 16S ribosomal RNA
Rfam family: Bacterial small subunit ribosomal RNA
Source: RNAcentral
GACGAACGCUGGCGGCGUGCUUAACACAUGCAAGUCGAACGGAAAGGCCCCUUUGGGGGUACUCGAGUGGCGAACGGGUGAGUAACACGUGAGUAACCUGCCCUUGCCUUCGGGAUAACUUCAGGAAACUGGGGCUAAUACCGGAUAGGAAUCCUUGCUGCAUGGUGGGGGUUGGAAAGCUUCGGCGGUUUUGGAUGGACUCGCGGCUUAUCAGCUUGUUGGUGGGGUAGUGGCUUACCAAGGCUUUGACGGGUAGCCGGCCUGAGAGGGCGACCGGCCACAUUGGGACUGAGAUACGGCCCAGACGCCGACGGGAGGCAGCAGUGGGGAAGAUUGAACAAGGGGCGGAAGCCGGAUGCAGCAACGCCGCGGGCGGGAUGACGGCCUUCGGGUUGGAAACCGCGUUCAGCAGGGGCGAAGCUUGUGGUGACGGUACCUGCAGAAGAAGCACCGGCUAACUACGUG